AUACGGAGGGUGCAAGCGUUACUCGGAAUCACUGGGCGUAAAGCGCGCGCAGGCGGCUAUUUAAGUUGGAUGUGAAAGCCUAUGGCUCAACCAUAGAACUGUAUCCAAAACUAUUUAGCUAGAGUGUGGGAGAGGAAGAUGGAAUUAGUUGUGUAGGGGUAAAAUCCGUAGAGAUAACUAGGAAUACCAAAAGCGAAGGCAAUCUUCUGGAACACUACUGACGCUGAGGCGCGAAAGCGUGGGGAGCAAACAGGAUUAGAAACCCUAGUAGUCC
This 274-nucleotide ribosomal RNA is filed under the name uncultured bacterium. Its description in RNAcentral is "partial 16S ribosomal RNA". It matches the Rfam family "Bacterial small subunit ribosomal RNA", at positions 523 to 796 of the family's 1533-position model. The record is from RNAcentral.